GUCCAACGGUAACAGGAAGCAGCUUGCUGCUUUGCUGACGAGUGGCGGACGGGUGAGUAAUGUCUGGGAAACUGCCUGAUGGAGGGGGAUAACUACUGGAAACGGUAGCUAAUACCGCAUAACGUCGCAAGACCAAAGAGGGGGACCUUCGGGCCUCUUGCCAUCGGAUGUGCCCAGAUGGGAUUAGCUAGUAGGUGGGGUAACGGCUCACCUAGGCGACGAUCCCUAGCUGGUCUGAGAGGAUGACCAGCCACACUGGAACUGAGACACGGUCCAGACUCCUACGGGAGGCAGCAGUGGGGAAUAUUGCACAAUGGGCGCAAGCCUGAUGCAGCCAUGCCGCGUGUAUGAAGAAGGCCUUCGGGUUGUAAAGUACUUUCAGCGGGGAGGAAGGCGACAGGGUUAAUAACCCUGUCGAUUGACGUUACCCGCAGAAGAAGCACCGGCUAACUCCGUGCCAGCAGCCGCGGUAAUACGGAGGGUGCAAGCGUUAAUCGGAAUUACUGGGCGUAAAGCGCACGCANGCGGUCUGUCAAGUCGGAUGUGAAAUCCCCGGGCUCAACCUGGGAACUGCAUUCGAAACUGGCAUGCUAGAGUCUUGUACAGGGGGGUAGAAUUCCAGGUGUACCGCUGAAAUGCCUACAGAUCUGGAGGAAUACCGGUGGCGAANGCGUCCCCCUGUGACAAA
RNAcentral lists this ribosomal RNA (688 nucleotides) under Enterobacter cloacae. Its description in RNAcentral is "bacterial SSU rRNA". It matches the Rfam family "Bacterial small subunit ribosomal RNA", at positions 61 to 737 of the family's 1533-position model. Lineage: Bacteria; Pseudomonadati; Pseudomonadota; Gammaproteobacteria; Enterobacterales; Enterobacteriaceae. The record is from RNAcentral.